GACGAACGCUGGCGGCGUGCUUAACACAUGCAAGUCGAGCGGUAAGGCCCUUUCGGGGGUACACGAGCGGCGAACGGGUGAGUAACACGUGGGUGACCUGCCCUCAGCUCUGGGAUAAGCCUGGGAAACCGGGUCUAAUACUGGAUAUGACUCCAUGACGCAUGCUGUGGGGUGGAAAGCCUUGUGCGGCUGAGGAUGGGCCCGCGGCCUAUCAGCUUGUUGGUGGGGGAUGGCCUACCAAGGCGACGACGGGUAGCCGGCCUGAGAGGGCGACCGGCCACACUGGACUGAGACACGGCCCAGACUCCUACGGGAGGCAGCAGUGGGGAAUCUUGCGCAAUGGGCGAAAGCCUGACGCAGCGACGCCGCGUGAGGGAUGACGGCCUGGU
RNAcentral lists this ribosomal RNA (389 nucleotides) under uncultured bacterium. RNAcentral's name for it is "bacterial SSU rRNA". It matches the Rfam family "Bacterial small subunit ribosomal RNA", at positions 28 to 420 of the family's 1533-position model. The record is from RNAcentral.